Molecule: ribosomal RNA, 253 nt
Filed under: uncultured bacterium
Lineage: Bacteria
Description: partial 16S ribosomal RNA
Rfam family: Bacterial small subunit ribosomal RNA
Source: RNAcentral
UACGGGGGGAGCAAGCGUUAAUCGGAAUUACUGGGCGUAAAGCGUGCGCAGGCGGCUUUGCAAGACAGAUGUGAAAUCCCCGGGCUCAACCUGGGAACUGCAUUUGUGACUGCAAGGCUAGAGUACGGUAGAGGGGGAUGGAAUUCCGCGUGUAGCAGUGAAAUGCGUAGAUAUGCGGAGGAACACCGAUGGCGAAGGCAAUCCCCUGGACCUGUACUGACGCUCAUGCACGAAAGCGUGGGGAGCAAACAGG